GAGGCACCAGUCAGCUGCCAAUGGGACUGCUUCUGGUGGGAACUUAGUGAUGAGGUCAUGACAUGGAUAUAUAAGGUACCUUCUUCCUUGAAGCGGGGAAAACAAGUUUUGGGUGCACAGGCAGCUAGCCAUGCAGCCUCUAGAGCAGGCUCAGUCAGCUCCUGGAUGGAAUUGAUUUUCUUCCAUUAAGACCUUCUGAGUUAUGGCCACCUUGUUUAGCUCUGAGCACUCUCAACUUCAGUACUUCGCAAGUGCAGCUCUUCUGGAUGGUCAUCUAGAUAGCUCUUCAAAGGACAUGUUUUUACUACCUGCCUACUGACCAAAGGACCACCCCUAAGUUGUGCUUCGGGAGGUUGAGAUGAGAAGAACUCCUUUUUUAAUGUUUUAUGUGGACUGCUGGAGAGCCUCUUCAUACUGCUUUUCAACUGUUGGGCACCAAAGAAAAGUCAAAUUUACCAAUCAAAAAAUGUUGAUCAGAAGCCGUUCUAUAUACAACAGAUAAAUCGGAGAAUAUUGGAGAGAACACAGUAGGCUCCUGGUUCAUCUUUUCCUGUUGGCUUUCCUCAAAAAAUGUAAG
Molecule: long non-coding RNA, 577 nt
Organism: Gavialis gangeticus (Gharial)
Lineage: Eukaryota; Metazoa; Chordata; Crocodylia; Gavialidae
Exons: 4
Source: RefSeq, a predicted model, not a curated record